Molecule: ribosomal RNA, 474 nt
Filed under: Brevibacillus sp. CP6A
Lineage: Bacteria; Bacillati; Bacillota; Bacilli; Caryophanales; Paenibacillaceae
Description: bacterial SSU rRNA
Rfam family: Bacterial small subunit ribosomal RNA
Source: RNAcentral
GGAUUUCCCAAUGGACGAAAGUCUGAUGGAGCAACGCCGCGUGAACGAUGAAGGUCUUCGGAUUGUAAAGUUCUGUUGUCAGGGACGAACAAGUACCGUUCGAACAGGGCGGUACCUUGACGGUACCUGACGAGAAAGCCACGGCUAACUACGUGCCAGCAGCCGCGGUAAUACGUAGGUGGCAAGCGUUGUCCGGAUUUAUUGGGCGUAAAGCGCGCGCAGGCGGCUAUGUAAGUCUGGUGUUAAAGCCCGGGGCUCAACCCCGGUUCGCAUCGGAAACUGUGUAGCUUGAGUGCAGAAGAGGAAAGCGGUAUUCCACGUGUACCGGUGAAAUGCGUAGAGAUGUGGAGGAACCCCAGUGGCGAAGGCGGCUUUCUGGUCCUGUAACUGCCNCUGAGGCGCAAAANUUUGGGGNGCAACCAGGAUUANAUACCCCUGGUGGUCCACCCCGUAAACGAUNANUGCUAGGUGUUU